UACAGAGGUCUCGAGCGUUGUUCGGAUUCAUUGGGCGUAAAGGGUGCGUCGGUGGCUAGGUAAGUCGGAUGUGAAAUCCCGGGGCUCAACCCCGGAACUGCAUUCGAUACUGCCUGGCUAGAGUACUGGAGAGGAGAUUGGAAUUUACGGUGUAGCAGUGAAAUGCGUAGAUAUCGUAAGGAAGACCAGUGGCGAAGGCGGAUCUCUGGACAGUUACUGACACUGAGGCACGAAGGCCAGGGGAGCAAACGGG
Molecule: ribosomal RNA, 253 nt
Filed under: uncultured bacterium
Lineage: Bacteria
Description: partial 16S ribosomal RNA
Rfam family: Bacterial small subunit ribosomal RNA
Source: RNAcentral